Molecule: ribosomal RNA, 484 nt
Filed under: Leptoneta kwangreungensis
Lineage: Eukaryota; Metazoa; Arthropoda; Arachnida; Araneae; Leptonetidae
Description: partial large subunit ribosomal RNA
Rfam family: Eukaryotic large subunit ribosomal RNA
Source: RNAcentral
GCCGACGCAUUUCUUCCGCCCUUGGACGCCGCAGCCGGUUGGGAUCAAGUCGGGUUUCAUCGAGUGUUCGCCGGAUCGUUCGCGAUGAUGGCCCCCGCGAGGAUCGGCGGCUUGCGGCGAGUACGUCGGUAGCCCACCACACCCGUCUUGAAACACGGACCAAGGAGUCUAACAUGUGCGCGAGUCAUGGGGUCUUGAACAGGCCCAAAGGCGAAAUGAAAGUGAAGUCGCGAUGUCGCGUCCGCAGCGACGACCCGGUCGGUGUCUGAGCGCACACGUUGGUACCCGAAAGAUGGUGAACUAUGCCCGACCAGGGCGAAGUCAGAGGAAACUCUGAUGGAGGCUCGUAGCGCUUCUGACGUGCAAAUCGAUUGCGAGAGUCGGGUAUAGGGGCGAAAGACUAAUCGAACCAUCUAGUAGCUGGUUCCCUCCGAAGUUUCCCUCAGGAUAGCUGGCGCUCGGGAUUCACACAUAGUAAAGCGAA